Molecule: transfer RNA, 69 nt
Filed under: Allobates undulatus
Lineage: Eukaryota; Metazoa; Chordata; Amphibia; Anura; Aromobatidae
Description: tRNA-Asp
Rfam family: tRNA
About the family: Transfer RNA (tRNA) molecules are approximately 80 nucleotides in length. Their secondary structure includes four short double-helical elements and three loops (D, anti-codon, and T loops).
Source: RNAcentral
GAGAAUUUAGUUAAUUAAUAACAUUACCUUGUCAAGAUAAAAUAAUAAGUUAGACCCUUAUACUUCUCC